RNAcentral lists this long non-coding RNA (1320 nucleotides) under Phascolarctos cinereus (koala). RNAcentral's name for it is "lncRNA (ENSPCIG00000004531.2)". The record is from RNAcentral. Lineage: Eukaryota; Metazoa; Chordata; Mammalia; Diprotodontia; Phascolarctidae.
GCGGGACGGGGAGCCUGGGAGGGCGGGAGGGCUCCGGGUCCAGCCGGGCCCGGAGCAGGGCCGGGCUGCCCCUGAUCACUGGUGGAAGGGGCCGAAGAGCGGAGCGGCGGCAGAGCUGGAGCCGGUACUGGGGCAGGAGGAAAGGAGAGCCGAUCCGAUCCAAGCCGGCCGGAUUCAAGCCGGGAGGGACAGCGCAAAGCAGGGCGGGGCUGGUCAGGGCUGGUCAAGGCUGGCGGCCCAGGGCUGGGGGAGGCUCUGGUGCUAUGGGCGCAGGAGAGGAGACCUAGAGCAGGAGGCUCAGCGCGCGGCCCGGGCCAGCCGGGUAUGGGCACCGAGCGCUGCCCUUGGCCUGGCCCUAACCCCAGCUCCAGCCGGGGCGCCUUUGUAACUCCCCUGCCGCCGCACCACAAAGAGCCCGCCAACCCGAGAGCUGGGACCUCCACCCGAGACCCGGGAGAAGGUGGUGAGCUGAGCAUAGUCACAGGCAGAUGGCUUCCUCAGAUCCAUCUCCUCAGCCUGCAGUAGGAGACCAGCCAGCUCAGGACGUCCCAGGGACUUCUCCUGAGUCUGAGGAGGACCACGGAGAGGAUUUUGAGUUUGACGACAGUGAUGAAGAGGAAGAGGACUCCAGGACGGGCCCAGAGAAGGAUGGAGAACCCCCACUUAUCCACUUUGAUGCUGCCCCCAUCACUGAUCCUGCAGCUGCCCAGCCCCCGACAGAGAUUAUCAUAAGGAAAGAGCUUUAUUUGCCCAAAGGAACAGAAGAGGCAACAGGAUGCAGGAGGAAGAGUGAAGAACUUGGAGUCUUGGGGCCUGCACCUGAAGUUGACUAGAGGCAGAGAGUUAGAGCGGAAAGGAGAAGGCUGGCUUUGGAGUGAGAAGCCUGCGUGUUGGCCCUGCCUGGGCCGUUCACACCUUGGGUGACUAUGGGCACAUCACUCGAUAUACCAAUAACAUCCACUCCUCUUGGCCUUGGUUUCUUCAUCUGUCAAAUGAAAGGAUCACACCAGAUGCUCUCUAACAGUCCCUUCUGGCCCUAGGUCUGUGGUCUUUGGAUCUGCACUUAGCCCAGAGCCCGGCACUUACAUGUUUACUGAAGCAUAGCCCACCCUCCAUUUUUGGAUGGACAACCUCAGAUGUCAUUUUGCAUGAUUAGGCUAUUUUUGGGACCCUCUCUAACCUGCUGCCUCAUCAGCUGCCUAGAAGAGUUGCUUUGACUGUCGGAUGGAUCCUUGACUACUGAGGAGUCUUGGAUCAAAUGGAUUGGUAUUUUCUAGUCAUGCAAAUAAAUUGAUCACGCUCAGGGGAAAAUGUUUAUUG